GUAGGUGGCAAGCGUUGUCCGGGAAUUAUUGGGGCGUAAAGCGCGCGCAGGCGGUUCUUUAAGUCUGAUGUGAAAGCCCACGGGCUCAACCGUGGAGGGUCAUUGGAAACUGGAGAACUUGAGUACAGAAGAGGAAAGCGGAAUUCCACGUGUAGCGGUGAAAUGCGUAGAGAUGUGGAGGAACACCAGUGGCGAAGGCGGCUUUCUGGUCUGUAACUGACGCUGAGGCGCGAAAGCGUGGGGAGCAAACAGGAUUAGACACCCUGGUAGUCCACGCCGUAAACGAUGAGUGCUAAGUGUUAGGGGGUUUCCGCCCCUUAGUGCUGCAGCUAACGCAUUAAGCACUCCGCCUGGGGAGUACGGCCGCAAAGGCUGA
Molecule: ribosomal RNA, 376 nt
Filed under: uncultured organism
Description: partial 16S ribosomal RNA
Rfam family: Bacterial small subunit ribosomal RNA
Source: RNAcentral